This 482-nucleotide ribosomal RNA is filed under the name uncultured bacterium. RNAcentral describes it as "partial 16S ribosomal RNA". It matches the Rfam family "Bacterial small subunit ribosomal RNA", at positions 30 to 507 of the family's 1533-position model. The record is from RNAcentral.
AUUGAACGCUGGCGGCAUGCUUUACACAUGCAAGUCGAACGGUAACAGGCCGCAAGGUGCUGACGAGUGGCGAACGGGUGAGUAAUGCAUCGGAACGUGCCCAGUCGUGGGGGAUAACUACUCGAAAGAGUAGCUAAUACCGCAUACGAUCUAUGGAUGAAAGCGGGGGACCGUAAGGCCUCGCGCGAUUGGAGCGGCCGAUGUCAGAUUAGGUAGUUGGUGGGGUAAAGGCUCACCAAGCCAACGAUCUGUAGCUGGUCUGAGAGGACGACCAGCCACACUGGGACUGAGACACGGCCCAGACUCCUACGGGAGGCAGCAGUGGGGAAUUUUGGACAAUGGGCGCAAGCCUGAUCCAACAAUGCCGCGUGCAGGAAGAAGGCCUUCGGGUUGUAAACUGCUUUUGUACGGAACGAAACGGCUCUGGUUAAUACCCGGGGCUAAUGACGGUACCGUAAGAAUAAGCACCGGCUAACUACGUG